This 492-nucleotide ribosomal RNA is filed under the name uncultured bacterium. Its description in RNAcentral is "partial 16S ribosomal RNA". It matches the Rfam family "Bacterial small subunit ribosomal RNA", at positions 29 to 507 of the family's 1533-position model. The record is from RNAcentral.
AGUGAACGCUGGCGGUAGGCCUAACACAUGCAGGUCGAACGGCAGCACAGUAAGAGCUUGCUCUUACGGGUGGCGAGUGGCGGACGGGUGAGGAAUACAUCGGAAUCUACUUUUUCGUGGGGGAUAACGUAGGGAAACUUACGCUAAUACCGCAUACGACCUACGGGUGAAAGCAGGGGAUCUUCGGACCUUGCGCGAUUGAAUGAGCCGAUGUCGGAUUAGCUAGUUGGCGGGGUAAAGGCCCACCAAGGCGACGAUCCGUAGCUGGUCUGAGAGGAUGAUCAGCCACACUGGAACUGAGACACGGUCCAGACUCCUACGGGAGACAGCAGUGGGGAAUAUUGGACAAUGGGCGCAAGCCUGAUCCAGCCAUACCGCGUGGGUGAAGAAGGCCUUCGGGUUGUAAAGCCCUUUUGUUGGGAAAGAAAAGCAGCAGGUUAAUACCCCGCUGUUCUGACGGUACCCAAAGAAUAAGCACCGGCUAACUUCGUG